Molecule: unclassified non-coding RNA, 1667 nt
Organism: Leptinotarsa decemlineata (Colorado potato beetle)
Lineage: Eukaryota; Metazoa; Arthropoda; Insecta; Coleoptera; Chrysomelidae
Source: RefSeq, a predicted model, not a curated record
GCACGAAAACUCAGUUUCACACAAAAACAAUACAAUCACUUCAAAAGAGAGAGGGGAGAAACUAGGAAAGGUUGAUUCCCAAUUGACUGAAAUGAUUGAUCAAGAAAUGAAUUACUGGCAAAUGCUACUACAAAGAGUUGUUGUGGUCAUAAAAGCUCUAGCUUCACGAGGAUUGCCAUUUAGGGGGUCAACAGAGUUAUUUGGUUCCAACUCGAAUGGAAACUACAUGAUGUUACUAGAAGUCAUUGCUCAAUUUGAUCCCUUUUUGCGUGAACAUAUCAGAAAGUAUGGAAACCCUGGUAAAGGACAUAUUUCCUAUCUUUCAUCCACUAUUUGUGAUGAGUUUAUUGAGCUCCUUGGCAAGAAAGUUACAGACUAUAUAUUAGAGGAGGCAUCAUAUAUCCCGUGUGCAGAACACUCUCUAAACCUAGUUGGGACUCACGCUGUAGAUUCUUGUAUUGAGGCAGUGUCACUAUUUACUCUGCUUCAAGAGCUGUAUAAUUUUUUUUCUAGCUAUACACAUAGAUGGGCGGUGUUAAAUAAUUGCAAAAACACAACACUAACAACCAAAAGCCCUUCCACAACAAGAUGGUCUGCUAGACAUGACGCUUUAAGAGCCUUACAAGAAGAAUGGCCUGCAAUUAUCAGAGCUCUAGAAAUAUUGGAAAGUGACACAGAUCAGAAGGCUAACACUCGAGCAGAAGCUAAAGGUCUACUAAGCAGAUUGAACCGCUUGGAAACAGCUAUAAUGGUCAAGUUAUGGGGUACUAUUCUUUUCAGGCUCAAUAAGGUUAACAAAUAUGUGCAAAAUGAAGACACUGAUGCAUUGGCCGUAACAGAAGUUUUCAACUCACUGAUAUCCUACUUUGAAGAGCUCAGAAAUCAGUUUGACAUUUAUGAAAACAAAGCACUUGAUGUUAGUGAAACCAAAGUUUAUGAGUAUGAUAACAGACGUAAGAAAACAAGAAAACUUCAAGAUGAUGAGACUCGAGAUGGCGAAGUUUCUUUUACUACUGGAAGAGACAGCUUUAGAGUUAACACAUUUAUUCCGAUAAUUGAUAAAGUUUAACAAGAACUUACAGCAAGAAUGCAUACCUAUGAGGAAUUUGUUACAAGGUUCGUUGCAAUAAUCAAACUCUCAGAUCUCACGACAGAAGAAAUUGAAGUUGAGGUUAACAAACUUCUCAGUGUAUUUGAAAAUGAUUUAGAGCCGACAAUCUUUGAUGAACUUGUCCACCUGAGGUCGCACAUGUCAACAAACAAAAUAGAAAAUAAAAAUAAAAAGCCGUUGUCUUUGUACAAGUGGAUCAUAGGAAACAAAUUGGAAGAUAUCUAUCCAAAUGUCGAAAUUUUGCUAAGAAUGUUUAUUUGUACUCCAGUAACAAACGCAUCGGCCGAGAGGUCAUUUUCCUGCUUAAAAAGGAUCAAGGAAUACCAUAGGUCAAACAUGACCCAAACAAAGCUCAACUCUCUCGCUCUCCUCAAUAUUGAAAAUGAUGUAACCAAAACAUUGGAUUUCACCAACACCAUCCAAUCGUUUGCCUGGUCCAAAGCCAGGAAGAGGAAAUUUUAAAACGAUGUUAAAAGUCAUUUCGUUAGUAAAUACCGUGUUGUGCUAAUAAAUGUACUUACUUACUUAAUUAUACAGUAUUGUUUGUGUUAAUUAA